CCGUACCCAUACCGAACACGGCAGUUAAGCCCUCCAGCGCCGAUGGUACUGGGACGUAAGGUCCUGGGAGAGUAGGUCGCCGCCGGAGUU
Molecule: ribosomal RNA, 90 nt
Filed under: Carboxydothermus pertinax
Lineage: Bacteria; Bacillati; Bacillota; Clostridia; Thermoanaerobacterales; Thermoanaerobacteraceae
Source: RNAcentral